Molecule: ribosomal RNA, 679 nt
Filed under: uncultured bacterium
Lineage: Bacteria
Description: bacterial SSU rRNA
Rfam family: Bacterial small subunit ribosomal RNA
Source: RNAcentral
GAAAAGAAUGCUAAUACCGCAUAAUAUAUAUUUAUCGCAUGGUAGAUAUAUCAAAGAUUUAUCGCUUAGAGAUGGACUCGCGUCCGAUUAGUUAGUUGGUGAGGUAACGGCUCACCAAGACCGCGAUCGGUAGCCGGACUGAGAGGUUGAACGGCCACAUUGGGACUGAGACACGGCCCAGACUCCUACGGGAGGCAGCAGUGGGGGAUAUUGCGCAAUGGGGGAAACCCUGACGCAGCAACGCCGCGUGAAGGAUGAAGGUCUUCGGAUUGUAAACUUCUUUUAUUAAGGACGAAGAAAGUGACGGUACUUAAUGAAUAAGCUCCGGCUAACUACGUGCCAGCAGCCGCGGUAAUACGUAGGGAGCAAGCGUUGUCCGGAUUUACUGGGUGUAAAGGGUGCGUAGGUGGCUUUGCAAGUCAGAUGUGAAAUCUAUGGGCUCAACCCAUAGCCUGCAUUUGAAACUGCAGAGCUUGAGUGAAGUAGAGGCAGGCGGAAUUCCCCGUGUAGCGGUGAAAUGCGUAGAGAUGGGGAGGAACACCAGUGGCGAAGGCGGCCUGCUGGGCUUUAACUGACGCUGAGGCACGAAAGCGUGGGUAGCAAACAGGAUUAGAUACCCUGGUAGUCCACGCUGUAAACGAUGAUUGCUAGGUGUGGGGGGUCUGACCCCUUCCGUGCC